GGUAAGACAGGGAGAAACUGAAGAAGGGAGAGGAAGAUGGUAGGUGUCUGCAGACAUCAACCUCAGAUUCUAUCCGUGUAAUGAGCUAGGUGUCAGGCUAGGGAAAGGGAAAGUGUGCAGAUGGUGUGUGUGGAAGGGUGCAUGUGAGAGAAGUUCUUGUGUAUGUGGGAUACGUGUGUUCGGAUGUCCAUGUGUUAUGGAAUAAUGAAAUGUACACUUAUGCCAUUAAAAUUUUUAUUAUUUAAAUAUUACCAUACGAUAAAUUAACUCUCCUCUUUCGGUGUGAAGUUCUAUGAAUUUUAACGUGUGUGGAUACAUGAAAUUACCACUAUGAUCAGAAGACAGAGGAGUUCUGUCACUUCCCAAAUCCCUCCGAGCUAUCUCUGUAUAGUUGCCUGCCCUGCACACCCCACGUACACACACCCCCUGCCAAGGGCCUAUUCAUUCUGUGUCCUACAGUUUUCUCUUUCUGAGAACGGCAUACAAAUGGAAUCAUACAGUGUGUAACCUUUGACAACUGGAUUCUGAAAAGCAUGAUGCUUUGUAAUUUUUCCACAGUUGUGAUACUUGUUUAUUUAAAUUAAUGCAUAUUAUUCCACAGGAUGGAUGUACUGAAGUGUAUUUACUCAUUAAAGGAUAUUUAUUUUUCCCAAUUCUGAAUAGAUCUGCUGUCAACAUUAAUGCAAGGAUUGUUUGUGUGAACAUAAACAUUUCUUUAGGGUAAAUACCUGUACCCAGGAGUGGGACUGUUGAAUCAUGUAGUAAGUGUAUUUUAAUUUUACAAGGAAGUGGCAAACUUUUUUUCAGUGAUGGGGAUUGAACCCAGCUUCUGGCACAUACUAGGCAAGUCUUCUACCACUGAGCUAAACCCCCAGCCAAGUGGCAAACUAUUUUUAAGAGUGGCUGUGCUCUUAUCUGUUCUUCUCAUGAACAAAUGAGCAUUCCAAUUGCUUCACAUCCUUGUCAAGCACUUGGUAUUGUCAGUAGUUAAACAUUUCUAGACACUCUAAUCAGUGUGUAAUCAGAUCUCAGCAUAGUUUUCACUGGCAUUUUCCUAAAGGCUAUGAUGUUGAAUAACAAUAAUAAUUAAUAUAAUCGCCAUCAUUAUCAUUAGGUACUAGGAGUGCUUUAUCACCAAGCUACACCCCCAGUCUUUUAGUCUUUUCUAUUUUUUUCUUUUGAGACUCGCUAAAUUGUUUAAGGCCUUACUACGUUGCUGAGGCUGGCCUCGAACUUGUAAUACUCCUGCUCCAGCCUCCCAAUCGCUGGAAUUAAAGCAUGUAUCUCCACACCCAGUGACACUUUCUAAUGUGCUAAAUUGCCAUCACUUGGUGAAGCAUUUGCUUUUUCUUUUGCCCUGUGUUCAGAUUUAGAUAUUUUGUUAUUGUUGAGUAUUGAGAGUUCUUAAUAUAUUCCAGAUGCAAGUAUUAUGAGAUACGUGAUUUGCAAAUAUUUUCUCCAGGUCUGUACCUUGUGUUUUCGUUCUCCUAAUGGUGUAUUUUGAAGCUAAUUAAUUUGGGUGAAGUACAAUUUAUAAUUCCUUUUUUUUUUUAUUGUGCUUUUGGUGUCAUAGUAAAAACUCUUUGCCUAACUCCAGGUGAAAUUAAGACUUUUUUUUGUAUGUUUUCUUCUGGGGUCUCAUAGUUUUUGUUUGUUUUAAAUUUAUAUUUAUGGUCUAUUUACUUUUGUUUAACUUUUUUUGUUUUUUGCAUAUGGAAAUUAAACAGUUGAAAUAAAAUUUGUUGAAAAUAUUUUCUUCAUUGAAUUGCCUUUACACCUUUGUAAAAAGUCAAUUGUCCAACUUUGUGUGGAUAUAUUUUUGGACUCUUAUUUUGUUUCAUUGAUCAUUGAUCUUUGCAAUACAACAUUAUCUUGAUUACUGUAGCUACACAUGAGUAAGAGUGGACAUUCUUUAUUUCUCUCAAUUUCUGGGGAAAGCAUUUGAUCUUUCACUAUCAAGGGUAACGUUAACUGUAGAUUUUGAAGAUACUUUUUAUCAGGUUGAGGUAAUUUCUAAGUUUUCUGAGAGUUUUUAUUUUGAGUGGAUGUUUGCUUUGUGAAAUAGUUUUUCUAAGUUUAUGGACAAACACAACUUAGAUUUAUUUUGUGGUGGAAAACUAGAAUCUAAAUGUAUAAAUAAUGACACUUUAUGAAAUAUUAUGUGGACAUUAAAUUCAUGCUUUAGAAGAGUAUUUAAUGCUGUGGAAGAUACUCAAGUACAUUAAAUAAUAAAGGUAUGCUAAAAACAGUAUUCAUAGUUCCAACUAUAUUUUAAAAAAAUACUAUACAUAGAAAAAAAAAAGAAGCUUAAGGGUAUAGGACCAAAAUGCUAAUGGUAAUAUCUUUGGAUACUAUAACUAGAUGUGGGCUUUGUCUUCUUUAUAUGUCCCUGUAUAUUUA
This 2400-nucleotide long non-coding RNA is filed under the name Marmota monax (woodchuck). Lineage: Eukaryota; Metazoa; Chordata; Mammalia; Rodentia; Sciuridae. The record is from RNAcentral.